UAGGGGCCCAGCGUUGUCCGGAUUUAUUGGGCGUAAAGAGCUCGUAGGCGGCUCGGUAAGUCGGGUGUGAAACCUCCAGGCUCAACCUGGAGACGCCACUCGAUACUGCUGUGGCUAGAGUCCGGUAGGGGAGCGUGGAAUUCCUGGUGUAGCGGUGAAAUGCGCAGAUAUCAGGAGGAACACCAGCGGCGAAGGCGGCGCUCUGGGCCGGAACUGACGCUGAGGAGCGAAAGCGUGGGUAGCAAACAGG
This 250-nucleotide ribosomal RNA is filed under the name uncultured bacterium. Its description in RNAcentral is "partial 16S ribosomal RNA". It matches the Rfam family "Bacterial small subunit ribosomal RNA", at positions 528 to 776 of the family's 1533-position model. The record is from RNAcentral.